This 492-nucleotide ribosomal RNA is filed under the name uncultured bacterium. RNAcentral describes it as "partial 16S ribosomal RNA". It matches the Rfam family "Bacterial small subunit ribosomal RNA", at positions 29 to 507 of the family's 1533-position model. The record is from RNAcentral.
AGUGAACGCUGGCGGUAGGCCUAACACAUGCAAGUCGAACGGCAGCACAGUAAGAGCUUGCUCUUACGGGUGGCGAGUGGCGGACGGGUGAGGAAUACAUCGGAAUCUACUUUUUCGUGGGGGAUAACGUAGGGAAACUUACGCUAAUACCGCAUACGACCUACGGGUGAAAGCAGGGGAUCUUCUGACCUUGCGCGAUUGAAUUAGCCGAUGUCGGAUUAGCUAGUUGGCGGGGUAAAGGCCCACCAAGGCGACGAUCCGUAGCUGGUCUGAGAGGAUGAUCAGCCACACUGGAACUGAGACACGGUCCAGACUCCUACGGGAGGCAGCAGUGGGGAAUAUUGGACAAUGGGCGCAAGCCUGAUCCAGCCAUACCGCGUGGGUGAAGAAGGCCUUCGGGUUGUAAAGCCCUUUUGUUGGGAAAGAAAAGCAGCAGGUUAAUACCCCGCUGUUCUGACGGUACCCAAAGAAUAAGCACCGGCUAACUUCGCG